Molecule: ribosomal RNA, 253 nt
Filed under: uncultured bacterium
Lineage: Bacteria
Description: partial 16S ribosomal RNA
Rfam family: Bacterial small subunit ribosomal RNA
Source: RNAcentral
UACGAGAGGCCCAAACGUUAUUCGGAAUUACUGGGCUUAAAGAGUUCGUAGGCGGCAUUGCAAGUAGGGUGUGAAAGCCCUCGGCUCAACCGAGGAAUUGCGCUCUAAACUGCAGUGCUCGAGGAAGCUAGAGGUGAGCAGAACAGAUGGUGGAGCGGUGAAAUGCGUUGAUAUCAUCUGGAAUACCGGAGGCGAAGGCGGCUCACUGGGGCUUUUCUGACGCUGAGGAACGAAAGCCAGGGGAGCAAACGGG